UCAGAAACUGAAAUUAGGUAAAAAAUCCCAUUUAUGUUAAACAGAGGUGCUGACUGCAAACAGAUCUCAUCACUUUUGGGGGCUGUGGUUGUGCCCCUCAAAGUAAACUGGUAGGUUCUACACUC
This is a small nucleolar RNA of Artibeus jamaicensis (Jamaican fruit-eating bat), 125 nucleotides long. RefSeq annotates it as small nucleolar RNA SNORA68. NCBI's taxonomy places the organism in Eukaryota, Metazoa, Chordata, Mammalia, Chiroptera, Phyllostomidae. The record is from RefSeq and is a predicted model, not a curated record. The transcript has a single exon.